UUUUGUUUUCUUGAAUGUCUUUUUUGUUGUUGUUUGGAUGCUCUCAAUUCAAUAAUUUGUGAGUCUCUUAAGUUUAGCUUAGGUUAUUAGCCUCUGAUUAUUUUGUUUAAGAAGACACUAUCAAAAUCCAAAGAAAAACAUGUUCGGAUAACCACAGGGCAGCGAGUCUGAGAGAAAUCUUGGUCUGAGAGAUAAACAUCAAAUAAAUAAGGGAAAAAAAAAAACAUAUCAUUCACAAAAGAAAGACUUUUGACAAGUCAGUGGCGAAAAAGAGUAAAUGUGUGUGAUUCUAGUGCAGCUUCACAGAGAGCAGCGAGUCCAAGAGAAAUCUAGGUUUUUCAUCUAUCUCAGCAGGCUUCGGCGAGUCGGCGACUGAGAAUGAUAAUCUCCGGUGGUUUACGACGGCGAAAGAUCCCGUCGAGCGAGAAAAAGAGCGCUUCUUCAUCAUCAGCAGUUCCCGGCGGUGAGACCUUUUCUCCAGCGAUCGACGAUUGAUUCGCGUUAAGAAAUUGCCGCCAUUCACAGACGCUUGUUUGGCCCAUUGGGCUUAAGCCCCACUCUUACUAGGGUUUAGGCGUCUUCACCAUUUUUUUUUUCUUUUUAUAACGAAAAAGUGUUUUUUUUUUGUUGUUGUUGGAGAAUGUCACAAAAGCAAAACCAUGGAGAAGAAAUCACAUUUUAUUAUAGAUGUUUUACAAAUUGAUAUGUUGAUUCAAUAUUGGUACAACAAGUAGACAACUACUCAAAAGUCAAAACUAUCUUGCUCCAGGAACCACCGAAGUAUCCAAGCUAAUAUUCAUUUCUUGAUAUUCCAUGCCUCGAGUCUUGCUCAUCCUCGAGUUUUCACACACAAGACACUCUUUUAGCUCGUUGAUUACCUGAGACAUGGUUGGUCGUUUCGAGGAAGAAGGGUCUGCGCAUGACAUUGCCAGCUCAAGUGCUCUCCACGCAGAAUUAGAGUCAUAAACCCCGCCAAGGUUUGGAUCCAUGAUCUCAAUAAUAUCACCUCGGUUAAGCUUAGAGCCAACCCAUUCUGUUAUGUGGUACUUUUCAGAGAUCACGGGCUGGUUUGUGAUCAUCUCCAAUAAC
Molecule: long non-coding RNA, 1089 nt
Filed under: Arabidopsis thaliana (thale cress)
Lineage: Eukaryota; Viridiplantae; Streptophyta; Magnoliopsida; Brassicales; Brassicaceae
Description: potential natural antisense gene, locus overlaps with AT5G59660 (AT5G59662)
Source: RNAcentral